Molecule: ribosomal RNA, 490 nt
Filed under: uncultured bacterium
Lineage: Bacteria
Description: partial 16S ribosomal RNA
Rfam family: Bacterial small subunit ribosomal RNA
Source: RNAcentral
AAUGAACGCUGGCGGCAUGCCUUACACUUGCAAGUCGAACGGCAGCAUGACCUAGCUUGCUAGGUUGAUGGCGAGUGGCGAACGGGUGAGUAAUGCAUCGGAACGUGCCUUUUAGUGGGGGAUAACGUAGCGAAAGUUACGCUAAUACCGCAUAUUCUCUGAGGAGGAAAGCAGGGGACCUUCGGGCCUUGCGCUAGAAGAGCGGCCGAUGUCGGAUUAGCUAGUUGGUGAGGUAAAGGCUCACCAAGGCAACGAUCCGUAGCGGGUCUGAGAGGAUGAUCCGCCACACUGGGACUGAGACACGGCCCAGACUCCUACGGGAGGCAGCAGUGGGGAAUUUUGGACAAUGGGCGCAAGCCUGAUCCAGCCAUGCCGCGUGAGUGAAGAAGGCCUUCGGGUUGUAAAGCUCUUUCGGCUGGGAAGAAAUCGCACCCUCUAAUACAGGGUGUGGAUGACGGUACCAGCAUAAGAAGCACCGGCUAACUACGUG